GUGCACCAGGCGAGAAAACUUCACACUGUGCGAAAGCACGAUGAGGGAAUCCCAAGUGCUUGCACGUAAGUGUAAGCUGUUUCUCUGUCUAAAACGCAGAGAGAGUAAGGGCUGGGUAAGACGGGUGCCAGCCGCCGCGGUAAUACCUGCAGCUCAAGUGGUGACCGUUAUUAUUGGGCCUAAAACGUCCGUAGCCGGUUUAAUAGAUGCCUGGGUAAAUUGUGUAGCUUAACUAUACGAAUUCCGGGGAGACUGUUAAACUUGAGACCGGGAGAAGUUAGAGGUACUCCUGGGGUAGAGGUGAAAAUUCUGUAAUCCUAGGGGGACCACCAGUGGCGAAGGCGUCUAACUAGAACGGGUCUGACGGUGAGGGACGAAGCCCUGGGGCGCAAACGGGAUUAGAUACCCUGUA
RNAcentral lists this ribosomal RNA (412 nucleotides) under uncultured microorganism. RNAcentral's name for it is "bacterial SSU rRNA". It matches the Rfam family "Archaeal small subunit ribosomal RNA", at positions 330 to 742 of the family's 1478-position model. The record is from RNAcentral.